UGAACCGUGUGUUUCUCUGUGUGUCUCAGCAGGUACACUGAUCAGCCAUGAGAAACUCCUGCUGCAGAUCAACACAGAGAGACAGAUGGGCAACAUGGACUACAAACUGGGACAGGUAGGAUGGAGAGAGAGAUGGACUACAAACUGGGACAGGUAGGAUGGAGAGGGAGAUGGACUACAAACUGGGACAGGUAGGAUGGAGAGAGAGAUGGACUACAAACUGGGACAGGUAGGAUGGAGAGAGAGAUGGACUACAAACUGGGACAGGUAGGAUGGAGAGAGAGAUGGACUACAAACUGGGACAGGUAGGAUGGAAGGAGAGAGAGAUGGGCAACAUGGACUACAAACUGGGACAGGUAGGAUGGAGGGAUGGAAGGAGAGAGAGAUGGACUACAAACUGGGACAGGUAGGAUGGAGGGAUGGAAGGAGAGAGGGGGCGGAGGAAAGGGAAGACAGACCAAAUGGCAUAGUUGUGUCCUUCUCUUGCAGAUAUGUUCAGUCUCUCUCUCUCUCUCUCUAAUUCCUCUCCUUUAUUGUCUCUCUCUCUCUAAUUCCUCUCCUUUAUUGUCUCUCUCUCUAAUUCCUCUCCUUUAUUGUCUCUCUCUCUAAUUCCUCUCCUUUAUUGUCUCUCUCUCUCUCUAAUUCCUCUCCUUUAUU
Molecule: long non-coding RNA, 657 nt
Organism: Oncorhynchus tshawytscha (Chinook salmon)
Lineage: Eukaryota; Metazoa; Chordata; Actinopteri; Salmoniformes; Salmonidae
Source: Ensembl